GCUCGCUCCAAAUGUAUCCAGACCUUGUCUGUCGUCAGUGCAUGCCAAUCCACCACGGGGUGUAAAUGGACUGCCCUGUAGUAGGUCAGAAUUGAUGGGAGACCCACUCCACCCUGUGCCUUUGGCUGCUGCAGUUGAGUUCUCCUGAGUGCCAAACGAAUCUGGAGAUCGCAGUGUCAAUGGUGCGGAAGAACAGUGGCGGAAAUUUUAUCGGGAGCGUCUGGAAGAGGU
Non-coding RNA from Pelobates cultripes (western spadefoot toad), 231 nucleotides. Lineage: Eukaryota; Metazoa; Chordata; Amphibia; Anura; Pelobatidae. The record is from the annotation of a GenBank genome assembly.